GAACGAUGAACCACUUCGGUGGGGAUUAGUGGCGAACGGGUGAGUAACACGUGGGCAAUCUGCCCUGCACUCUGGGACAAGCCCUGGAAACGGGGUCUAAUACCGGAUACUGACCCGCUUGGGCAUCCAAGCGGUUCGAAAGCUCCGGCGGUGCAGGAUGAGCCCGCGGCCUAUCAGCUUGUUGGUGAGGUAAUGGCUCACCAAGGCGACGACGGGUAGCCGGCCUGAGAGGGCGACCGGCCACACUGGGACUGAGACACGGCCCAGACUCCUACGGGAGGCAGCAGUGGGGAAUAUUGCACAAUGGGCGAAAGCCUGAUGCAGCGACGCCGCGUGAGGGAUGACGGCCUUCGGGUUGUAAACCUCUUUCAGCAGGGAAGAAGCGAAAGUGACGGUACCUGCAGAAGAAGCGCCGGCUAACUACGUGCCAGCAG
RNAcentral lists this ribosomal RNA (434 nucleotides) under Streptomyces sp. HVYN-4-2. RNAcentral describes it as "bacterial SSU rRNA". It matches the Rfam family "Bacterial small subunit ribosomal RNA", at positions 64 to 514 of the family's 1533-position model. The record is from RNAcentral. Lineage: Bacteria; Bacillati; Actinomycetota; Actinomycetes; Kitasatosporales; Streptomycetaceae.